GUAGGCGAACCUGCAUAUAUGCAUAUCAAUAAGCCGAGGAAGAUUCCGUAUGCCCACCGGAAGAUCUACACAUCAAUAAGCGGAGUAAGACUCCCUCUGAGCAAAUGUAUAUAUACGCAAAAAAUUUCAAAACGAAUCUCCGGGUUCUGGCAGCGAUCACGAACGCCGAAAAACCGAAUAAGUAAUGCGAAUUGCAGAAUUCAGUAAAUCAUCGAAUCUUUGAACGCACAUUGCGCUCGCCAGUAUUCUGGCGAGCAUGCCUGUUCGAGCGUCAUUUCAACCAUCAAGCUCUGCUUGCGUUGGGGAUCCGCGUCUGACGCGCUCCCUCAAAAACAGUGGCGGGCUCGCUAGUCACACCGAGCGUAGUAACUCUACAUCGCUAUGUUCGUGCGGCGGGUUCUUGCCGUAAAACCCCCAAUUUCUAAGGUUGACCUCGGAUCAGGUAGGAAUACCCGCUGAACUUAAGCAUAUCAAUAGCCG
This 480-nucleotide ribosomal RNA is filed under the name fungal sp. Its description in RNAcentral is "eukaryotic LSU rRNA". The stretch from base 121 to 274 matches the Rfam family "5.8S ribosomal RNA". Lineage: Eukaryota; Fungi. The record is from RNAcentral.